Molecule: ribosomal RNA, 465 nt
Filed under: uncultured bacterium
Lineage: Bacteria
Description: partial 16S ribosomal RNA
Rfam family: Bacterial small subunit ribosomal RNA
Source: RNAcentral
CCUACGGGAGGCAGCAGUAGGGAAUCUUCCACAAUGGGCGAAAGCCUGAUGGAGCAACGCCGCGUGGGUGAAGAAGGUCUUCGGAUCGUAAAACCCUGUUGUUAGAGAAGAAAGUGCGUGAGAUUAACUGUUCACGUUUCGACGGUAUCUAACCAGAAAGCCACGGCUAACUACGUGCCAGCAGCCGCGGUAAUACGUCGGUGGCAAGCGUUAUCCGGAUUUAUUGGGCGUAAAGGGAACGCAGGCGGUCUUUUAAGUCUGAUGGGAAAGCCUUCGGCUUAACCGGAGUAGUGCAUUGGAAACUGGGAGACUUGAGUGCAGAAGAGGAGAGUGGAACUCGAUGGGUAGCGGUGAAAUGCGUAGAUAUAUGGAAGAACACCAGUGGCGAAAGCGGCUCUCUGGUCUGUAACUGACGCUGAGGUUCGAAAGCGUGGGUAGCAAACAGGAUUAGAUACCCUGGUAGUC